GGAGGGAUGGCAGAGCGGUCGAAUGCGGCGGUCUUGAAAACCGUUAGGCGCGCAAGUGCCUCGUAGGUUCGAAUCCUACUCCCUCCG
RNAcentral lists this transfer RNA (87 nucleotides) under Candidatus Omnitrophota bacterium. Its description in RNAcentral is "Candidatus Omnitrophica bacterium tRNA-Ser". It matches the Rfam family "tRNA". From Rfam's summary of the family: Transfer RNA (tRNA) molecules are approximately 80 nucleotides in length. Their secondary structure includes four short double-helical elements and three loops (D, anti-codon, and T loops). Further hydrogen bonds mediate the characteristic L-shaped molecular structure. tRNAs have two regions of fundamental functional importance: the anti-codon, which is responsible for specific mRNA codon recognition, and the 3' end, to which the tRNAs corresponding amino acid is attached (by aminoacyl-tRNA synthetases). tRNAs cope with the degeneracy of the genetic code in two manners: having more than one tRNA (with a specific anti-codon) for a particular amino acid; and 'wobble' base-pairing, i.e. permitting non-standard base-pairing at the 3rd anti-codon position. Lineage: Bacteria; Pseudomonadati; Candidatus Omnitrophota. The record is from RNAcentral.